This 451-nucleotide long non-coding RNA is filed under the name Mus musculus (house mouse). RNAcentral describes it as "long non-coding RNA chr4:105511231-105511682". The record is from RNAcentral. Lineage: Eukaryota; Metazoa; Chordata; Mammalia; Rodentia; Muridae.
GCCAAGUCCAAGAACCAUACCUCACACAACCAGUCCUGCAAAUGGCACAGAAAUGGCAUCAAGAAACUCUGGUCACAGAGAUAUGAAUUUCUUAAGGGGGUUGACCCCAAGUACCUGAGGAACAAGUGCUUUGCCAAGAAGCACAACAAGAAAGGCCUGAAGAAGAUGCAGGCCAACAAUGCAAAGGCAGUGAGUGCACGCACAGAGGCCAUCGAGGCCCUUGUGAAGCCUCAGGCCAUCAAGCCCAAGAUGCCAAAGGGCCCCAGCUGCAAACUCUGCCGUCUGGCUUUCAUCACUCACCCCAAGCUUGAGAAGCGGAUUUGAAUCUACAUGGCCAAGGGGCAUAGGCUCUGCCAACCAAAGCCCAAGAUCCAAGCCAAGGCAGGGGCCACAGCUCCAGCUCAGGCCCAGGCUUUGGCUCCAGCCCAGGCUCCCAAAGGUGCCCAGGCCC